RNAcentral lists this ribosomal RNA (880 nucleotides) under uncultured bacterium. RNAcentral describes it as "bacterial SSU rRNA". It matches the Rfam family "Bacterial small subunit ribosomal RNA", at positions 28 to 890 of the family's 1533-position model. The record is from RNAcentral.
AUUGAACGCUGGCGGCACGCUUAACACAUGCAAGUCGAACGGCAGCGGGAGAGAGCUUGCUCUCUUGCCGGCGAGUGGCGAACGCGUGAGUAACGCGUAGGGAUCUGCCUGUUAGAGGGGGAUAAGCCGAGGAGACUUGGACUAAUACCGCAUACGCUCUGAGGAGGAAAGGUUGGGACUGUCGAGAGAUGGCCAAUCGCUAACAGAUGAACCUGCGUUAGAUUAGCUAGUUGGUAGGGUAAAGGCCUACCAAAGCGACGAUCUAUAGCUGGUCUGAGAGGAUGACCAGCCACACUGGAACUGAGGAACGGACCAGACUCCUACGGGAGGCAGCAGUGGGGAAUAUUGGACAAUGGGGGGAACCUUGAUCCAGCGAUGCCGCGUGUGUGAAGAAGGCCUGAGGGUUGUAAAGCACUUUAGUUGGCGAGGAAAGGCUCUUUUCGAAUAGGAAAGAGAGAAGACGUUACCCAAAAAAUAAGCACCGGCUAACUCUGUGCCAGCAGCCGCGGUAAUACAGAGGGUGCAAGCGUUAAUCGGAAUGACUGGGCGUAAAGGGCACGUAGGCGGGUAGAUGUGUCAUAGGUGAAAUCCCCGGGCUUAACCUGGUAACUGCCUAUGAAACUGUGUAUCUAGAAUAGAGUAGAGGUAAGUGGAAUUUCCGGUGUAGCGGUGGAAUGCGUAGAUAUCGGAAAGAACACCAGUGGCGAAGGCGACUUACUGGACUCAUAUUGACGCUGAGGUGCGAGAGCGUGGGGAGCAAACGGGAUUAGAUACCCCGGUAGUCCACGCUGUAAUCGAUGAGAACUAGCUGCUUGUUGACUAAGGUUAAUGAGUAGUGAAGCAAGCGCAUUAAGUUCUCCGCCUGGGGAGUACGGCCGCA